Tympanuchus pallidicinctus (lesser prairie-chicken) is the source of this 9309-nucleotide long non-coding RNA. RefSeq lists it as uncharacterized. Lineage: Eukaryota; Metazoa; Chordata; Aves; Galliformes; Phasianidae. The record is from RefSeq and is a predicted model, not a curated record. The transcript has 9 exons.
UCUUUUACAAAAUUCAGCUUGUGAACCUCCUCCAUUAACUGAUACUGCACUUCACAGAUGCUUGAGGAAGACAGCUGCAAACAUAAAGCCCUUUCCGGCCUCUAAAGUCAGCUCUUGGUGGAAAGGGAUAUUCCAGAAGGGCCUCACUGCAACAUAUUUCUUAUGCAGAAUUUUGUCCAAACACAGUUGCCUAAACAUGCCUCUGGUUCAGAAGUGAAGGGGCUACCUUGAAUUUCUGCCCUAAAGUUUUCCCUAAAACACAAGAGAGGAAAAUAUCCAUUACUGACAAAUGCAGAAAGGGGGGAAAAAAAAAAAAUUAACGUGAGCCUGUUGCUGAGAUCUCCACUGAUAACACACACACAGAAGGACGUGUAGACAUCUGCUCACCAUGCAAAGUGAAUUUAGGAUUUCAUGUUGUAUUCAACGAUCCAGACCUGCUGGAUGUCCAAAACCACAGCCCUGAUAAACUCUCCCUUAAAGCUUUUCAAAAAUGUCAGGUAUCCAAGGCUGGGUGAGUAUUCUGGCAAGGUGUUGCCAGACAUUUGUUCUUUUCUGAUGUUCCUACGGCCAUUGUCAGAGGGAAGCUCCUCAGAAAGAUGGAUUUCUCGUAUAUUUAGGGCUACCAAAAGUGUCCUUACCUUAGAAAUAGCUUUACCUAUCAGCCUGGUGUGUACUGAGCAGGCCUACAGAUGCAUAAUGCACAGCAAUUGAAGAGUGCCUGGAUUUUCAGAUUUGACACUGCACUGUUGACAAGCACUGCUGAGGAGCUCAGAGCUCUCUAAGCACAUUUAUUAGACAAUGAGGUGGUAGUAAAGGGCUCUGAAUGAAUUGGCAUCCAAAUUAAGUAGCUUCAUAAACCACAAGUGUUGAAAGACAUUGCAAAACCAGUGCAGUUAGUAAUUAGAGAACCAGACAGGCUUAGAGAAAUUAAAACCGAGAGUAUUUUAUCACAUAUGUCCUGGAGAACUCUAUGCAUUCUACAGAUAUUGCUUAGUGUUCUUAAAAUUUCCACAUGUACAGUUUUAAGAUAAAUAAAAGAUAUUUAAAAGAUUAUUUUACACAUGAAAAAGACGUAGUACUUACUCUUCCUCGUACAUCUUUCUGCAAAAGAAAAGGAACAAAAAUAUAUAUUAGUUCCUCCUAAAAGGACUUAUAUAGAUCAUGGGCCAGAUUCUCAGAUACACUUCGGUGACACAGAGCAGCUGUAACUGGCCAGUUAACUUAGGUUUAUGGCUGCUGUGUGUCAGCAGAACUGCACAAAACAGCCAGAGGGUACCAAUGAAUCUGGCCCUACAUCUUUUUGAAAGGACAGCCCCAAAUGAGAAAGGAUUGUCAGGAACCUGGAUUUUGCCCAGCCUUCUCCUAACUCUGUUAGAGAAGACAGCUUGAGUCACUGUGCUAGCAACAUCAAAUCCUUAGCACAAAGAGCAAAAUUGAAUGUCAUUCCUACAUUAUUUUUGUGUGAAAAAGAAUACAUUGUAGACUUUUAGGAUAGAGAAUCAAUUAAGUUGUUCAACUUUUGAGAGGCUAUUUAUCAACCGAAACCUCUUCAGAGUAGGAUACUGUUGAUAUGCAUACAGAAAGCAGCAGAGAUGUACUGUUGUUUUUUGGAAACAUGCAAACAUGCACACAGAAUAUUUUCCUCAUGCUACAAUUAAACUUGGAGAGCUUCACCCAAAUGCAAGGGAACUAGCAUCAAAUGGGGAGGUUGGUGGCCCUGCAUGUGGCAGGGGGAUUGGAGAUUCAUGAUCCUAAGGUCUCUUCCAACCCUGGCCAUUCUGUGAUUCUCUGAUUCUGUGGAAUGACGAUGUCCCUCCACCUCCGCAUGAGACUCUUCUGGUAUUGAGUGCUGACAUCAUGUAAUCAGCCACUGCUUUCUGACCACCUGCACUUUCAUCUCCUAUCAGCAGCCAAAGGAGCAUCUGGAAGCUGGUGUUUUCAUUGCUUCAGCACCAUCAGCUCUUUGAGUACUUCUGACGUCCCUCUGCCCCCGUAAUAGUUGACCAAGAUACUUCAGACUGAAAGCACAGCAGGUAGUUGCCAGCAUCCUUUCAUUUUUACCAGCUGCAUUUCUUUGGCUAAGCUAGCAAACAACAUUCCCAUUUUGCAUAAUCACUGCUGAAACAUGGCUUUCUACAUAAUUUGGAUUUGCACGUCUCCAUGCAGACACCUACAUUUUGGGAUGGAAUUUCUCCCCUUUAGUCAACAGGAGGCGUAGGAAUCUAAGUAUGGCUAAUUAAAUCUGAUUUGUUUGUACAGAUGUGCAGAGGGCUACUUGCAAAUUCAUCUUAAUACAGAAGUUGUUUUUUACAAGGCAGAUAUUACUCAACUGAGGAACAGAAGUCUCUUGCUAGACCUCUUUUUUCUUUUUUUUUUUCUUUUUUUUUUUUCCCCCCAAUGUAAUAGUAUUCUUCCCAAGGAAAAAAGAAAAGAUGUAAGAAGUAAAGAGCUUUGAAGAAUAAUAGUCACUGGCCCCCAUAUAUUAUAUCUCGCAAUAUAAAACAGUCUGUAACUUAUUUGGUAAAAUUCAUACAUAAUUUUCUUCCUAGGACAAGUGCUCUCUCAUCAGAAGUAAAAAGUUUAGGUGACCACAACUGUGCAUUUGAGUGUGCACUUUCAAGUCUUAAUAUUUGAACUGGCUGCUAUUUCUAGCCACUGGGAGAAAAGCGCAACAUAGUAUACGUGAAAUGGCAUAUACUUUCCAUCUCCUAACACAUCUCUGCUGACUGAUCACUAGCUUGGGUAUAAUUGAAAUGUCUGUUGCUGAUGUACACUCCAUUAAUUAGUUGUGAUAGCUUUGCAUUCCUUGUGGAAGUGCGCAGCACGAGCCUUUUCUGGAGCUGGAGGGAGACCUAUGGUCUGAAGGUAUGCACUCUGCUGACAGCUCUGUGCAAGAUUUUUGAGAAAGUGAGGGAAUAAGGGAGCUCGCAAGUGAAGAGAAGCGCUCCUCAUAGAGAAGGUGAACUGGUUCUCAGGAUGUGGGAAGAAGACAUGCUGGAGGAGAGAGCCAUUUUUCUGCUGCAUCCCCAGUACGUUUCCCCCAGGGGAUGGUGCUGGAGGCAGUGGCAUGAAGGAAAUUCCACUGGUGGAACCUGACAGCUUGUUUCAACAUAGGCCAAUUUCAAAUAUCCUCAUCAUGAGGUGCUGGGCAUAGCUGCAGAUCUCUGGGGCCUUACAGUGGGGGUCCAGAAACACCAGUAUGUGUGAAUGAUUCCACUGUGUGCCAUUUUAAUCCAGGCAAUAGAAUCGCUGAAAAUGGGGCCGGUGUGUUUCCUAGGAGCUGGGCAAGGGUGUUCCCAGCAGCCCAUUAUAUGAUGCAGCAUUUCUUCUGCCAGUAUGGGGCACUGAAGCUAAGGGAAGAGAAAUCUUUCUUGUGCUAUUUUUGGCCAUCUUAGAGAGAAAGAAAUCUAAUCAUGGCCCCUGGCUUGUCAUCUUUUCAUGAAAGCAGCAUAAGCCAGAGCUUCCAGCAAGCCUCAUAAAACUCUGGAUUUACAGGGGACCUUUCAUCUGCAUCCAUUUAAAAUGUUCCCUGCCAGGCAACUGACUAUGGACGGAAAUCAUCAUUUGAAAAGAUCUUACUUUAAGGACUGUACACAGUGUCUUAAAUGCUGCUUCAGUUCUUCAUCCUUUUCAUAGGAUUCGAGCAAGGUGUGUGCAUCAUCGUGGCGAUAGCAAUAGAUUUUAUAUGUGUCUUCUAGUGGGCCUUUAAUUUGCAAAAACACUUCCCCUGUUAAAGAGAAAAACAAAGCAUGUCAACCCAGACAACAGCAUCUCAGAAGGAGUUUUAUUAUUCCACCACAUUAGCUGUGAGCUAAAAGGGCUGCUUUCCACUUUACUUCCCUUAGAAAUGAUCUUGUGUGUUUACGUGCAUUAUUUAUUACAUGUAUUUCUCAGCUGCUCAUCUUUGUCACAGCCAGGUACCAUUAUACCAGUGUUAAUGCACAAAAAUUCCCCAGAGAACAGGGACAAAAUCUCUACACCUGCACCCCUGCAUAUACAAUCCCCUACUUCACUGCCACACGGUAACACUCCUGCAGUGAGAACCAAACAGGAGAGCUCUGCUGCUAAGGAGAGACUAUGCUGGCCCUCUGGGCUGGCAGGAGAAACAAGUGUAAGGAUAUUCAUUUUCCUUUUGACUUUUUUUUUUCAGCUGGAUAUGAACUUAAAUGGGUUAUAACAGGAAUAAUGACUCCAUCUCCCAUUAGCCAUUUCAUGUUUAUCUGUUUUGCAGCAUCCUGAAAUGGCAGUUGUUAAGGCCUAGAAUGGGGAAUCUUCCUCACAUGACAGAGGAAUAAUCUUCACCUUUUCCUCUAAUGAAUUAAAACCACUGUGGAUUGCAGGCAUUUCUGUACAGAAUGAAAGGGAAAAAUAUUUACAGUUCUGAUCCUUUGUUGCAUUGUUUUUCCUGAAAAACAGUUGGGAAUUUUAGAGGCAUUGAGUUAGUCCUGCACCCAUUUCCCAUCUAAGUUUGGUGCACAUUUCUCUCAGCUGGUAACUCCUAUGCUGCUUUCUGUGUAUUAUCCAGGCAGAGAAAGCAUGCUUCAUCUCUUCUGCUGAGAUAUUCAUUAGUUCUCACACCCUAAUAUAGCAGCAUCCUGAUCAGCAUCCUUGGAAAUGCACAUAAUAAACAAUAGCAAUGGUGAAAAUUACUGUCUCAGGCAUUUAUAGAAAAAUUACAUCUACGUGGCAACCAGUCAGAUGUUUUAUAAACACUCUUGUUGAGUUAUAGCCAUGAUUAUUAAAGUUAAAAGCUGAGCACCACGUUAAUUGGGAGCUCUAUUCAUUCACAGAGUGAGCACAAAGCUGUCAGGCAUCCUGCCGCUUUCAUCCUGACCGAAGUCGGCUGUUUCAUAAUACAUUGCAUUGAACUGCUCUGUCUUAGAGUGAAAAAUGAUUCAGUUACCACAGUAACACAGCUCUGGGUUUCUUCCCUAGCAGAGAAGGUUAACUGGGCUGUCUAAUGCAUGUUGGUUUCAAGGUGCGAACAAGGGAACAACAGCAACCGAGUUAAGAACACAGAAGUUUCGUUUUAGUUACUGUAAGGGCCACAGUCAGAAAAGCACCUGCAUCCUAAAGCUGCAUCCUCUUUGGGUGCUGUCAUCUCUGUUUUCUCUGUCUUUUGCUAAAUGUAGUGCAGAUAGCUAACAACACACAACUGCAUUCUGACUUCCCUGUAAACUCUAUACAGGGCCUUAUUCAGCCAACAAGCAUAACAAGCUUUCUCCUGAUCCCGUGCCCUUGGCAGAGAUGCUGAACUCUCACACUUAACUUUAAGCAGAGUGCUUAGCACAGCCCAUAGUACAUGGAGCUCUUAAGAGAGAUAAUGUUUUCUGCAGCAAAAAAAUGCAAACUAUACACUUAGCUUCCCUUCAGCAUAUACUGGAGCCUGGAAAUAGUCAUUCUCUCCUCCAGAAUGGAAAAGAUGAGAAUUCGUUGGUGUAUUGUGCCAUAAUGAUAGAUACUUUCAUUUAUGAUAAAAUAAUGAGAAAAAUGAUGCGCUUAUUUCACAGAUGGGAUCUUUUAAAAGCAGUUGGGGUCCUUAAGCCUGAAUUUCUUCUUGGUUCUGGGAUGUAUAAGUCGAGUCAGUUGAGCUCUGAGCAUAUCACUGAGAUAACUUGCUUUAUGGAGCAAAAAUGCAUCAUAUUUGUCACAGGUUUAUAAAUAAUGAGUAUUUUGAGCAUUCUGACAGAUCAACAUCUGCCUGAUCUGCCUCUUCUUGAGUGUAGUGGUCAGACAGUCUCGAAGAGGCAAUCUUGGGAGGAAGGCUUCAGUGGCAGCAACACUUUCUCCUUACAGCUUUCAGUGAUGCUUCCUGUGUGAACAGCAGUGGGAGAGGGAGGAAGAAAGGGCCCAAUAUUUAAAGGCAGAGUAAAAUUACUAAGUCUUCAUAUUCCUCUAUGUACAGCAACCAGAUCACAGAGGAGAAAAAACACAAGGGAGAACUAGAAAGAUCAUUUGUCUUCUACUGCUUUUAGCUUCAGAAGACCAACCACCAAAGCUACAUUAGCAUUUUAGCACAGAUUAGGAGGGGGCUUUUAAAGCCAGUCUCUCACUGUGCCUCAUCUCCCAUGACUUGGCUGUGUGGAGAAACAGUUAACAGACACAUAGACUAGAUCCUUUUGAGUGGUAAUUACCAGAAGAUAUACUCUUAGGGCACAGCAUGAAGUGUACCUCUCAAUCUACAGGAAUAGGCUAAAGUUAAUCUGAAAUAAGACAUCUUGAAAUCUGUAUAUACCAGGACCUCAGUACCAACUGUUCUGUUAUACGAGUCUGAAUCUACGGGCACUACAACUUGUCAAUGUAAGUAUAGCCCAAGAUGUGGAGACUAAAAUUAGGCAUCAAUACAAGUAACUACAUAAUUUUGGUUUCUAAUUCGUGAAACAGCAGUUCUCCUCAGCCUCACUAUAUGGAACUGCUGAAUCACAGCCUGAACCUCUGAUUGAUCACCUGAGGCGAGCAGUGAGUCAGCCAUGGGAGCACAGGUGAAGGCAAUUCACCUGUGCUGCCAGAAGGGAUGGAGCCUGGCUGCACCCCUCCUAGACCUAUUUAAGAGCUGGCUGCCAGUGGGAAAGGAUCUGUUCUGGAGGUCUGCUCUGCUGGAGUUUUGUAAGUGAGCCCAGAAUACAGAGGAGCAAGCACCAUGAUCAAGCCUGACAUGAGCUCAGCAGAGCCACUGGACAGGUUUCACAUCUCCUUUUUCCUUUAUUACUGUGGACAGCUUGUAGCACAUUACUCUCUGAGAGUGGUGCCGGUUUAGUGUGAUGAAGAUAUAGGACAGGAAAAUGUUAUGUUUAUUCUUUCACGUGGCUUUGUAGAACUCAAGAGGACAGUAAACAUACCGAUUACUUGCAUGGGUGGUUCCACAUCUGUUGUGGCUUCUUCCAGCAGUGACAGCAGCUUGGCUGAUAUCUGAUGGACCGAUUCGAUGUUGCUAAACAAGCCAUCCACAUCAAAGCGGGCGAUCUAGUGGAAUACAAAUAUUAAGCAGCUUCUGAGGAACGAUAAAGAAGGACAUUGUAUUUUAAUUGUAUUUUACAGACCUUCUCUUAAUAAGGCUUUCGUAUUCAGCAUUCCAGGAAGCAUAAUUACUGCAAAAUGUAAUAUAAACAUCCUCCUCGUGACUUUUGGGAUGCAUACAGUUUUCAGAUCAGUAGAAUUGGGUUGACACAGUUAACAAAGGGCGUUUUAUCAAGUGAUUUUAAUGCUAUUUUGAACUACUGGUUCCUAAUCUGAAAGUGUUUAUGUAGGAAGGAAAUUAUAUUAUCAUUUGAAUGAAGAAAAGUUAUUUAUCUGGCUUUAAAAUGUUGAUUUUCCCAUUGAGAAGAAGAAUAGUUGGCAGGGGAUUUGAUUCCUUGUUUUCCAGUUGUUCGUGGAAGCUGCUAUGUGAACUGGGACCUUGGUGCUUUAGUGCCAGCCAUGAGGAAAGUGAUGCUUGCUUCCAGCUGAAGGAGUACCGAGGAGAGUUUGAUCAAGGUGUGUCUAGACUCAUCCCAGCUGAGCUCUAGGUGGCUGCAUGGCUGUCUCACCAACCUGCCCUUUGAAAGCAACACCUUGCUUCCCCUUAUCUGAAAUGGAGCUGGUGACAAUUGGUUAUCUCACAGGAUGAGCUGAAAUGGGUGCAUUCAGAUGUCUUCUGGUCAAGAAGAGGAGAAAGACCCCCGCUGCAGACACAUUGCACAGGAACACACCAGAACCUCCAUACCGACCUCAAUUGUAUUUCACGCGCUGGGUGCAAGAUUGGAUUUAGAAAACGUGAGUGGUGAGCAGUGGCAAUCGCUCAGUCCUGCAGUACAGGUGCCUGGGUAGAGCCCGCCGUGCCCAUCUCCAGAGCCAGACAGCACUCCACAGGCACCAUGCUCCCACCCAGCACGGACAACGCAGCACCCAGCACGCUUCCCGGCCAUGAAAGAAAAAGGAAAGACUCCAUUUCUGAUUCGUGAUGGAGAAGUUGCUCUAGAGUAACAAAGGGCAUUUUCACCAGCAAAACAUACACAUAAUGCAUAUAUAUGAAAAAAAGUAAACGUACAGUGCCAAGUACAAACUGUUAAAGGAAGGAUGUCCUUCAGGCUUAGGUGAUUAUACUGCUGCUGAGUUUUUGCUAUACACCAGUGGUACUCUUGUGGAAUGAGAUUCACCCCUGUGCAGAGGGCAAGCAUAAAACCUAAGUACCAUGUAAACCCUACUUAAGUCUUAUGGACCUGCUUCUAACUCCGUUGAAAUAAAUAGCAAUAUUUUCAUCAACUUUCAGUGGGACCUGUUUCAAGGUCAAUGAAUGGGAUCAGUCCUACACAAACCUUUUGCUGGCCCAAUAUAUUAAGGAUUUGGAUGUAAAAUGCUUGGGAACAAAAAGAAGUGAAAAAAAAAACAAAAACCUUGCCUGUAAAAGCUUUAGUAAUUUUAGAGAAUUUGCAUCAUCUAAAUAUGAGAAUCAAAACAUGAAUUUGUUCCAAAGAUUCAAUAAUAUUAAGUAUGGAAGCUGCAGUAUCGCCUAAAUCUGACUUUAGGAAUACUGUGCAUACUUCUGUCAUGUUUUGUGUCAUAGUACUGAGAAACACUGUCAAAUCUAUUUCAGGCUUUAUCACCAUUAUUUCUGUAGUUUUAGAAGAAUUUUUGAUACACUGGAGUAUUAAAACAGUAAGGCCUCUGCUCUGGCAGUGUUAACAGGUCUUGCAUGUGUUUUUCUACCGUAUCAUUCACCAUUGCAGAGUAACAGGAUGGCAUCUUUUUAUUCACCUAAAAAGAGCCGGAAUAGAAAGUCAUUUAUAUCUCAUAAAUUCCAAGCGUUCAGAUGAGACCUCACACGGCAAAGGAGAACUCUGCACUCAGAAUUCAUGCAUCUUACAGCAACUCUUGACCACAGCUGUGUAUUUUACUUCCUAGCCUGUAUGGAGAGAUAAAUACGUUGGGUUCCUCCUAGAACAAUACUAAACCCAACUGCCAACGUUGUAAAUGUAAAAAUACUGCAUGUGCACUCAGUAAACAAUUUUUCAAAGGCUCUGAACUUCCAUAAACAAACCCCACAUUUGCCAGACCCAAGCAGGGGAGUGGGCACAUGGCAUAUGUCUGUUUUUUAUGUUGUCUGUUUGAGCAGCAGGCCAACUCAAAGAAAAUGCAGAACAGAUAUAUUUUUUUUUAUGAUAGAUUCUCUACUGUUGUGUUUUGUUUUGUUUUGUUUUUUUCCCCACAUGAAAAACGGAUGACUCACCUCCUUACAAACUCAAAACACAAAGAACUUCAAGCAGAUACCUUACAUGAUGAAUUUCAAACCCCAAGUGUCCAAGACAGAAGGUUACCCUGGAAAACCUGGCA